Wasmannia auropunctata (little fire ant) is the source of this 254-nucleotide long non-coding RNA. RefSeq lists it as uncharacterized. Lineage: Eukaryota; Metazoa; Arthropoda; Insecta; Hymenoptera; Formicidae. The transcript is spliced from 3 exons. The record is from RefSeq and is a predicted model, not a curated record.
ACUUUGACAAGCGCUAUUUUAUUUCAAUUUACCGCGCUUUUAACUGUCAAGCGUACUUCCGAUAAUGUCGUUAAAAUUCUUUCUACUGCAUUUUUCUUUACUCUCUUCGUAAUAAAAUAUAUCUCAUUUGCUGUUAAUAUCGAAAAUGUACAGUAUUUACUGACGCAACUUCAACAUAUAUACAACAAUCUAAAAGAUGAAUAUGAGUAUGUUAUUAUAGAAAAGUAUAGCUACAAUGCAAAAUGGUACACAGU